This 21-nucleotide non-coding RNA is filed under the name Arabidopsis thaliana (thale cress). Lineage: Eukaryota; Viridiplantae; Streptophyta; Magnoliopsida; Brassicales; Brassicaceae. The record is from RNAcentral.
CAGGAAGGUGAACCGCCGGCG